UACGGAGGGGGCAAGCGUUGUCCGGAAUUACUGGGCGUAAAGGGCGCGUAGGCGGCCGCUUAAGUCAGACGUGAAAUCCCUCGGCUCAACCGGGGAACUGCGUCUGAUACUGGUUGGCUUGAAUCCGGGAGAGGGAUGCGGAAUUCCAGGUGUAGCGGUGAAAUGCGUAGAUAUCGGGAGGAACAUCCGUGGCGAAGGCGGCCACCUGGACCGGCACUGACGCUGAGGCGCGAAAGCGUGGGGAGCAAACAGG
RNAcentral lists this ribosomal RNA (253 nucleotides) under uncultured bacterium. Its description in RNAcentral is "partial 16S ribosomal RNA". It matches the Rfam family "Bacterial small subunit ribosomal RNA", at positions 524 to 776 of the family's 1533-position model. The record is from RNAcentral.